This 507-nucleotide long non-coding RNA is filed under the name Gallus gallus (chicken). The record is from RNAcentral. Lineage: Eukaryota; Metazoa; Chordata; Aves; Galliformes; Phasianidae.
CGCCCCGCCUGUAAUCAGGGUCUGGAGGUGAGAGCCUUUGUGCUCUGCUGGCAGCAUGUGUGGGGCGACCGCCUCGUUAGCGGGGUGCUGGUCAAGAUGCCCCUGGCUGGGAGAGAGGGAGCCUCCCUUGGCCUCUGGGACCUGGGCUGCCCUGUAAGUCAGGGUGUGGCGAUGCCCUUGAGUCCCAGGCCCUUUGCGAUGGAUGCGGCGGGUUGGGGCGCCCUGUAAGCAGGGGAGCCGACCCUCAGCCCGCUGCUUUGUGUGCCCAGCCUUCUUUGCCCAGGGUGCCCCCCUCUGCGGCCUGCUGCAGCACCGUUGGGAACCCCGCGGGGCAUCAGUAGGGAGCUGCUGCAGGAGGAAGGCGGCAAAGCGGUGCGUGGACCUGGGAGGAAGCAGCGGGCAAGAAGAGGGCCCAGGAAGUGAUUACUUUGUUUUAGCUGUUUUUAUUCCUGUUUUCUUUUUCUCCUUGUUUGUGUAAUGUUUGUUUAGUUACUAGCUGUUGAAUGC